GGAAGAGAAAGUAGUCCAGAGAGUGGUUGUCCGAUGUCCUGCAUGAACUCUUGAAUACAAACUGGACUUGCUUUUCCCUUCUGUUCUGGUGGCUACACUGACAGAGAGAGAGAUGAAGGCCCGUCACGCUCUUGUGUCCUUGUCCUCCAGAGCUGUGGAGUGUGACAAUGGUGUUUGUGUCCAGUGCUGUCAAACGCCAUUAUCACACUAAAUAGCUACGGUGAGAAGCUUCCCCUAGCCCAGGGACUCCAGGUCACGGGGAGACGGUACACCGUGUGAAGCCCCGCUGUUCACCCUGCUUACCCUCAUCCUGACCUCCUCCUCUACCCCCUGUCUAUAUGUUCAGAGGUAUUGAUCACAGGUCACCACCAGUCAGGUAUACGCAGAAGGAAUAAAGGGAUGUGCAACCAUUA
This is a long non-coding RNA of Conger conger (European conger), 413 nucleotides long. RefSeq lists it as uncharacterized. The record is from RefSeq and is a predicted model, not a curated record. The transcript has 2 exons. NCBI's taxonomy places the organism in Eukaryota, Metazoa, Chordata, Actinopteri, Anguilliformes, Congridae.